This 416-nucleotide ribosomal RNA is filed under the name uncultured bacterium. Its description in RNAcentral is "bacterial SSU rRNA". It matches the Rfam family "Bacterial small subunit ribosomal RNA", at positions 508 to 921 of the family's 1533-position model. The record is from RNAcentral.
UCAGCAGCCGCGGUAAUACGAAGGUUGCAAGCGUUGUUCGGAAUCACUGGGCUUAAAGAGCACGUAGGCGGCCCAUCAAGUACCUUGUGAAAUCCCCCGGCUCAACCGAGGAAUUGCUUGGUAUACUGUUCGGGCUUGAGGCAGGUAGGGGCACGUGGAACUCUUGGUGGAGCGGUGGAAUGCGUAGAUAUCAAGAGGAACGCCGGAGGCGAAAGCGAUGUGCUGGGCCUGUCCUGACGCUGAGGUGCGAAAGCCAGGGGAGCAAACGGGAUUAGAUACCCCGGUAGUCCUGGCCCUAAACGAUGUCAACUAGGUCGGAGUCACUCUGACGUGUUUCUGGCCGAAACAAAAGCGUUAAGUUGACCGCCUGGGGAGUACGGUCGCAAGGCUAAAACUUAAAGGAAUUGGCGGGGGAC